AGCUCCAAUAGCGUAUAUUAAUGUUGCUGCAGUUAAAAAGCUCGUAGUUGGAUUUCUGACACUGGCGCACCUGGCCCGCCGCGGUUACGCGUGUGAGUGCCGGGUUUGCGCCUGUCACUUUUCUGUGUGAACCGGUGCUGCUCUUCACUGAGUGGUGCUCGGCCUAGCCAGAUUUUUUACUUUGAAAAAAUUAGAGUGUUUAAAGCAGGCGUUUUUUGCUAUGAAUACAUUAGCAUGGAAUAAUAAUUUAGGACUUCGGUUCUAUUUUGUUGGUUUCUAGGACUGAAGUAAUGAUUGAUAGGGACAGUUGGGGGUGCUAGUAUUCAGCGGCCAGAGGUGAAAUUCUCGGAUUCGCUGAAGACUAACUUAUGCGAAAGCAUUCACCAAGGAUGUCUUCU
This 398-nucleotide ribosomal RNA is filed under the name uncultured eukaryote. Its description in RNAcentral is "partial small subunit ribosomal RNA". It matches the Rfam family "Eukaryotic small subunit ribosomal RNA", at positions 587 to 972 of the family's 1831-position model. The record is from RNAcentral.